CAAGGAGUAGUUUAAAGAAAAUUUUAAUUUUGGAGAUUAAAGAAAGGGGGUAUCCUCUCUCCUUGA
Molecule: transfer RNA, 66 nt
Filed under: Neoplocaederus obesus
Lineage: Eukaryota; Metazoa; Arthropoda; Insecta; Coleoptera; Cerambycidae
Description: tRNA-Pro
Source: RNAcentral